UUCCGGUUGAUCCUGCCGGAGGCGACCGCUUUUGGAGUUCGAUUAAGCCAUGCGAGUCGAGAGCUUUCGGAGCUCGGCAUACUGCUCAGUAACACGUGGAUAACCUGCCCUAUUGUCUGGAAUAACCUCGGGAAACUGAGAACAAUGCCGGAUAGCCCACAAUGCCUGGAACGGUUUGUGGGUGAAGAUAGGAUGGGUCUGCGGCGUAUCAGGUCGUAGGGGGUGUAAUGGACCUCCUAGCCAUCGACGCGUACGGGUGUUGGGAGACAUAGCCCGGAGAUGGAUUCUGAGACACGAAUCCAGACCCUACGGGGUGCAGCAGGCGCGAAAACUUCACACUGCAGGAAACUGUGAUGAGGGAACUCCAAGUGCUAUCACUAUGUGGUAGCUUUUCUUAACUAUUAAUCGGUUUUGGAAUAAGGGCUGGGAAAGACCGGUGCCAGCCGCCGCGGUAAUACCGGCAGCUCAAGUGGUCGUCGCUUUUAUUGGGCCUAAAACGUCCGUAGCCUGUUUGGUAAAUCUGUGGGUAAAUCAACCAGCUUAACUGGUUGAAUUCUGCAGAGACUGCCAGACUAGGGACCGGGAGAGGUGUGGGGUACUCUAGGGGUAGGGGUAAAAUCCUGUCGUCCUUAGAGGACCACCAGUUGCGAAGGCGCCACACUGGAACGGAUCCGACGGUCAGGGACGAAGCCUAGGGGCACGAACCGGAUUAGAUACCCGGGUAGUCCUAGGUGUAAACGCUGUGAACUUGGUGUCGGGGAUCCGUAAUGGGUUCUCGGUGCCGGAGUGAAGAUGUUAAGUUCACUGCCUGGGGAGUACGGUCGCAAGGCUGAAACUUAAAGGAAUUGGCGGGGCAGCAC
RNAcentral lists this ribosomal RNA (860 nucleotides) under uncultured euryarchaeote. RNAcentral's name for it is "bacterial SSU rRNA". It matches the Rfam family "Archaeal small subunit ribosomal RNA", at positions 1 to 879 of the family's 1478-position model. The record is from RNAcentral. Lineage: Archaea; Methanobacteriati; Methanobacteriota.